Molecule: ribosomal RNA, 409 nt
Filed under: bacterium
Lineage: Bacteria
Description: partial 16S ribosomal RNA
Rfam family: Bacterial small subunit ribosomal RNA
Source: RNAcentral
UGGGGAAUAUUGCACAAUGGGCGAAAGCCUGAUGCAGCGACGCCGCGUGAGGGAUGACGGCCUUCGGGUUGUAAACCUCUUUCAGUAGGGACGAAGCGCAAGUGACGGUACCUGCAGAAGAAGCACCGGCUAACUACGUGCCAGCAGCCGCGGUAAUACGUAGGGUUCGAGCGUUGUCCGGAAUUACUGGGCGUAAAGAGCUCGUAGGCGGUUUGUCACGUCGUCUGUGAAAUCCUAGGGCUUAACCCUGGACGUGCAGGCGAUACGGGAUGAAUUGAGUACUAGAGGGGAGACUGGAAUUUCUGGUGGAGCGGUGGAAUGCACAGAUAUCAGGAAGAACACAGAAGGCGAAGGGAGGUCUCUGGGUAGUAACUGACGCUGAGGAGCGAAAGCAUGGGGAGCGAACAGG